CACCCCGUGGGCCGUACGCCGAGCUGCUUGCCGAGCAGCGCGAGGAAGAUACUGGCCUUCUGGGUGCCGAAGCCCGGCAGCGCGU
This 85-nucleotide transfer RNA is filed under the name Streptomyces sp. ADI96-02. RNAcentral describes it as "tRNA-Gly". The record is from RNAcentral. Lineage: Bacteria; Bacillati; Actinomycetota; Actinomycetes; Kitasatosporales; Streptomycetaceae.